GGCUGUGUGGCUGUGCUACGAGAAAUCGCCUUUUCUACUACAUAACAAUUGGGUUCAUAUAUUUGUAAAUCUGACUCUGAAAAGGUCAGUGCCUCACCAGCCACGGGCCUCACUACACGUCUCUGAUACCUAUCUGAUAUAUCAGAGCCGACUCCUGAGAGCAGACGUAUCUGAAGCUGUCAGGGAGGAACCAUGGCUACCAUCUCUGAACCGGACCCUGGACUCUCUGAGGAACCUGGGGACGCGUCUUUGGACCGGAGGGAGCGCAGGAAGAGAAGAUUUGCUGGUAGAGCAAAGAAGAAGGCUAAGUCCAGACGCCGUGGAAGCCGUCAGAGAGUAACAAUGGUCACCAUCUCUGAACCGAACCCUGGGCUCUCUGAGGACCCUGAGGACACGUCUUUGGACCGGGAGGAGACCAGGAAGAGAAGAUUUGCUCUAUGGUUUCACAUCACUGUCAUUGUGAGCAUCGGACUGCUGAGUAUUCUUCUCAUCUCCCUGCGCUUCAGUGAGUCUAAAUCAUAUCCUCCUAAACAGAAUAACAAUACAGUAUAAUCAUAUCAUUGAUUGUAUUAAUUUAAUAGCAAUGAUAAUGUUAAAUAUUGUUUUUGUUAGAUUUAGUGAUAAUAAUAGGGUUAGCAUACAUACACCGCACACACGCACAUAAACACAGCAUACACACACACACAAACAAUCCACACGCACGUGCACGAACACACACGCACAUGCACACACACUGCACACACGAGUGUGCUGAUGCAGACGUUUCAAGACAAGGGCAGCGCAGGACACCGCAUACACACACCACACACACAUGCACACACGCACGCACACACAUGCACGUGCAUAAACUCACUGCACACGCGCGGAUGCAGAUGUUUCAAAACAACGGCAAGAUUGAGAUAACAGCCCCGCCGUCGACACACUCUCCCACCUGAGCCUUAUGUCCAUCAUAGACACUUUUUUGCAAAACGUUAUUUUUCUUUAAACAUUAUCCACCACAUUGAGCCUCCCGAAAUGUCUUGUG
Molecule: long non-coding RNA, 1024 nt
Organism: Gadus morhua (Atlantic cod)
Lineage: Eukaryota; Metazoa; Chordata; Actinopteri; Gadiformes; Gadidae
Exons: 4
Source: RefSeq, a predicted model, not a curated record